AAGAAUGUCCCGUUUUUCGAAAUGGGUUCUAUUCCCAAACCGUGUCUACAUACCUUUGUUGCUUUGGCGGGCCGCCUUCGGGCGUUGGCCUCGGCUAAUUGUGCCCGCCAGAGGACCCAAACUCGUUUUGUUUAGUGAUGUCUGAGUACUAUAAAAUAGUUA
Molecule: unclassified non-coding RNA, 162 nt
Filed under: uncultured Helotiales
Lineage: Eukaryota; Fungi; Ascomycota; Leotiomycetes; Helotiales
Description: sequence contains ITS1
Source: RNAcentral